RNAcentral lists this ribosomal RNA (136 nucleotides) under uncultured bacterium. Its description in RNAcentral is "partial 16S ribosomal RNA". It matches the Rfam family "Bacterial small subunit ribosomal RNA", at positions 355 to 507 of the family's 1533-position model. The record is from RNAcentral.
GGGGGAAUUUUCCGCAAUGGGCGCAAGCUGACGGAGCAACGCCGCGUGAGGGAUGAAGGCCUCCGGGCUGUAAACCUCUUUUAUCAAGGAAGAAGAUCUGACGGUACUUGAUGAAUAAGCCACGGCUAAUUCCGUG